CCGGACCGAAUCGUGGCAGGCCACAUUGGAUAGUCUGGGACUAACCUCCCUACUUUUCUAAGCGGUGCUUACGACGAGCUACCACAUCCAGAAACCAAGAAAUUUCUGUGAACCCGGCGCGGCGAGCAUACCCCGGCCGAAGCCGCGUCACACCAUGAAACACCGACGACAUACAGUGAAUUUUUCCUGGCAGUGCAAUGCACUGGUUCAAAUUCUAGUCUGGUCCUGAUCGUUUCCUGUUCUGGUCCAUGCCUACAGUUGACCACAAGCCCCAUGCUCGCAGUGUUCAUCCAUAACAAGAAUUUUCCUACAUACUUUUCCCCAUUAUCUAUAUAUGUACAUACAUAAUGCGCCAUACAUAGAAAAAGUUAAAGUGAACUCAGAAUGUUA
Molecule: long non-coding RNA, 390 nt
Organism: Drosophila subobscura
Lineage: Eukaryota; Metazoa; Arthropoda; Insecta; Diptera; Drosophilidae
Exons: 2
Source: RefSeq, a predicted model, not a curated record